GCCCGUCACACCAUGGGAGUGGGUUGCUCCAGAAGUAGCUAGUCUAACCGCAAGGGGGACGGUUACCACGGAGUGAUUCAUGACUGGGGUGAAGUCGUAACAAGGUAGCCGUAGGGGAACCUGCGGCUGGAUCACCUCCUUAAUCGAAGAUCUCAGCUUCUUCAUAAGCUCCCACACGAAUUGCUUGAUUCACUGGUUAGACGAUUGGGUCUGUAGCUCAGUUGGUUAGAGCGCACCCCUGAUAAGGGUGAGGUCGGCAGUUCGAAUCUGCCCAGACCCACCAAUUGUUGGUGUGCUGCGUGAUCCGAUACGGGGCCAUAGCUCAGCUGGGAGAGCGCCUGCUUUGCACGCAGGAGGUCAGGAGUUCGAUCUUCCUUGGCUCCACCAUCUAAAACAAUCGUCGAAAGCUCAGAAAUGAAUGUUCGUGAAUGAACAUUGAUUUCUGGUCUUUGCACCAGAACUGUUCUUUAAAAAUUCGGGUAUGUGAUAGAAGUAAGACUGAAUGAUCUCUUUCACUGGUGAUCAUUCAAGUCAAGGUAAAAUUUGCGAGUUCAAGCGCGAAUUUUCGGCGAAUGUCGUCUUCACAGUAUAACCAGAUUGCUUGGGGUUAUAUGGUCAAGUGAAGAAGCGCAUACGGUGGAUGCCUUGGCCCCACAGGCG
Molecule: unclassified non-coding RNA, 660 nt
Filed under: Pseudomonas aeruginosa
Lineage: Bacteria; Pseudomonadati; Pseudomonadota; Gammaproteobacteria; Pseudomonadales; Pseudomonadaceae
Description: partial contains 16S ribosomal RNA, 16S-23S ribosomal RNA intergenic spacer, and 23S ribosomal RNA
Rfam family: Bacterial small subunit ribosomal RNA (bases 1-142)
Source: RNAcentral